GUAUAAUGAAAUUUUAAAUAUCAUUCUAUGAUAUCUUUUGGAAUAAAAAUUCUAAAAGAUGUACAGUACAUUUAGAAUUUUAAAUAUUGAUAAAAGGAAAAAACUACAGAUGUUUUGGUUUAACACAUUUCAAAUGAAUGUAUGGAAUACUCGAGUAAACAAAACUUUAAACUUCCAUCAUCUCGUAACAGAACUUCUAAAUUUAUAUAUACUAGUAAGAAAACUCUUGAAAGAUAUGUUUAUCUUGAAAUAUUUUGCAGAUCGAAACAGACAGACAGAAAAAUAAUUACACAGGAUCAUUUUUAAUAAAAUAUAGGUAAAAAUCUUUUAAAUAAUUUAAUUAUAUCGUCAGGGCCGUUUCUAGGCAUUAUACCUAGGAACGCGACCCUUGUGCAUUAUUUGGCUGACUUUCUGAAGUGCACAAAAUCAGUCGUAGAAAUGAUCCUGUAUACCAUUAAUGUUAAAUAAAUAGUUUAUUAAGAAAAUUCAGAUGACUGCUAUCUUGUAACUGGAUCUAAUAGAAACUUCAAUUAAUAUGUAAUUUGUAUUUUGAUUAAUAAGGAAAAAUUCUUUAAAUUUGAAUGUUCUGUGAUAUUUAAAAAUUCUUGAGAUAUGUUACAGAUGGAGAAAUUGUUUGUGGUAAUUUUUUACCUAUAGUUACUUAAGAUAAAUUUUUUAUAUUAAACACAAACUAAAUAUAUA
This 702-nucleotide long non-coding RNA is filed under the name Androctonus crassicauda. Lineage: Eukaryota; Metazoa; Arthropoda; Arachnida; Scorpiones; Buthidae. The record is from RNAcentral.